UAGGGAAUCUUCCGCAAUGGGCGAAAGCUUGACGGAGCAACGCCGCGUGAGUGAUGAAGGUCUUCGGAUCGUAAAACUCUGUUAUUAGGGAAGAACAAAUGUGUAAGUAACUAUGCACGUCUUGACGGUACCUAAUCAGAAAGCCACGGCUAAAUACGUGCCAGCAGCCGCGGUAAUACGUAUGGAGCGAGCGUUGUCCGGAAUUAUUGGGCGUAAAGGGUACGCAGGCGGUUUAAUAAGUCGAAUGUUAAAGAUCGGGGCUCAACCCCGUAAAGCAUUGGAAACUGAUAAACUUGAGUAGUGGAGAGGAAAGUGGAAUUCCUAGUGUAGUGGUGAAAUACGUAGAUAUUAGGAGGAAUACCAGUAGCGAAGGCGACUUUCUGGACACAAACUGACGCUGAGGUACGAAAGCGUGGGGAGCAAACAGG
Molecule: ribosomal RNA, 428 nt
Filed under: Bacteroidota bacterium
Lineage: Bacteria; Pseudomonadati; Bacteroidota
Description: Bacteroidetes bacterium partial 16S ribosomal RNA
Rfam family: Bacterial small subunit ribosomal RNA
Source: RNAcentral